GACAGAGGGGGCAAGCGUUGCUCGGAAUUACUGGGCGUAAAGGGUGCGUAGGCGGUUCGUUAAGUCUGUCGUGAAAUCCCCGGGCUCAACCUGGGAAUGGCGAUGGAUACUGGCGAGCUAGAGUGUGUCAGAGGAUGGUGGAAUUCCCGGUGUAGCGGUGAAAUGCGUAGAGAUCGGGAGGAACAUCAGUGGCGAAGGCGGCCAUCUGGGACAACACUGACGCUGAAGCACGAAAGCGUGGGGAGCAAACAGG
RNAcentral lists this ribosomal RNA (253 nucleotides) under uncultured bacterium. Its description in RNAcentral is "partial 16S ribosomal RNA". It matches the Rfam family "Bacterial small subunit ribosomal RNA", at positions 524 to 776 of the family's 1533-position model. The record is from RNAcentral.